CUCCUACGGGAGGCAGCAGUUGGGAAUCUUGGACAAUGGGGGAAACCCUGAUCCAGCCAUGCCGCGUGAGUGAUGAAGGCCUUCGGGUUGUAAAACUCUUUCGACGGGGACGAUAAUGACGGUACCCGUAGAAGAAGCUCCGGCUAACUUCGUGCCAGCAGCCGCGGUAAUACGAAGGGGGCUAGCGUUGUUCGGAAUUACUGGGCGUAAAGCGCGCGCAGGCGGUUUUUCAAGUCAGUGGUGAAAGCCCGGAGCUCAACUCCGGAACUGCCAUUGAAACUGUAAAACUUGAGGACGAGAGAGGUGAGUGGAAUUCCCAGUGUAGAGGUGAAAUUCGUAGAUAUUGGGAAGAACACCGGUGGCGAAGGCGGCUCACUGGCUCGUAUCUGACGCUCAGGCGCGACAGCGUGGGGAUCAAACAGGAUUAGAUACCCUGGUAGUCCACGCCGUAAACGAUGAAUGCUAGCCGUUGGGCAGCUUGCUGUUCAGUGGCGCAGCUAACGCAUUAAGC
This 511-nucleotide ribosomal RNA is filed under the name uncultured bacterium. RNAcentral's name for it is "bacterial SSU rRNA". It matches the Rfam family "Bacterial small subunit ribosomal RNA", at positions 336 to 865 of the family's 1533-position model. The record is from RNAcentral.